Molecule: ribosomal RNA, 254 nt
Filed under: uncultured bacterium
Lineage: Bacteria
Description: partial 16S ribosomal RNA
Rfam family: Bacterial small subunit ribosomal RNA
Source: RNAcentral
UACGGGGGGAGCAAGCGUUGUUCGGAUUUACUGGGCGUAAAGGGCGCGUAGGCGGCCACCGCAAGUCGACUGUGAAAUCUCCGGGCUUAACCCGGAAAGGUCAGCCGAUACUGCGGGGCUAGAGUGCAGAAGGGGCAACUGGAAUUCUCGGUGUAGCGGUGAAAUGCGUAGAUAUCGAGAGGAACACCUGCGGCGAAGGCGGGUCUCUGGGCCGAUACUGACGCUGAGGAGCGAAAGCGUGGGGAGCAAACAGG